This is a long non-coding RNA of Lynx canadensis (Canada lynx), 736 nucleotides long. RefSeq lists it as uncharacterized. The record is from RefSeq and is a predicted model, not a curated record. The transcript has 3 exons. NCBI's taxonomy places the organism in Eukaryota, Metazoa, Chordata, Mammalia, Carnivora, Felidae.
GGGCUUCCAGGAACUUAGACGCGGGAGAGGCCGACGUGCGUCGGUGACGCGCGGGGUUGGGGCUCUGGCUGGUGGGGAAGCCGGCCGGAUCGGGUGGAGUGGGUUGGAAGCACAGCGGGCGGCGGGCGGGGAAACCCUGUGGAAGCUCCAUUCGGCCGCCACUCAGCUGCGCCUAGCCUCCGCAAGCCUCCGCCACCCGCCGGUACCAUGAAAGGAUUGGACUGAGACCCGUCCAUCUAUCAAUGCCAGUCUUCUUAACCACAUCGUUGUUUCUCCCUCGACCUCUUUUUAGGGUGUGUGGUUGUUGCAAAAUGCGUGCCCUCUUGUCUGGACUGGAUGUUGCCCAGGGACAAGCUCCUACAGCAGCGUUUAUUAAUAAAAAUAGCAACCCUCUUUGUUAAGCGCUGUGUGCCAGACACCCUGGUCUGCCACCAUCAUCUCACCUUGGAUUACUGCAGUCACUCCCUCUGCUCUCCCUGCUUCCACCCUGAAGGCUCUACAGGCUACUUUCAAAGCAUUGGUCGGAAUGAUUCUUUAAAGCAUCCUCUGAGCCCAGGACCCUCCACUUGCUCUCUAUCUCAUGACAAAGAGUCCUUGUUGGUUUGCAACCAUCUCAGGAGCUUCUCAGGUGUGAUCUGAAAAUGGCCCCAGUGCAUGGAGCACAGGGAGAAACUAAAGACCAAGGCAAAACACUCCAGAUGGGUCAUGAUACUGGGAUCGUGGGAUCAAGCCCUGC